UAGUCAUGGUUUUUUAGAAGCAUGGUAGCCAGAAAAAUUAAGCCUAAGCUGACUGUUGAUUCCUCAUGUGGAAAACAGAACAUCCUCUUUUGCAAUUCAGUUCCCUACUUUUGCGUCUAUUCAUUUCCAUUUACUCAAAUGACCAUCAGUAUUUCCAGCAUGACACAGCCCUGGAACCAGAAAUAGAUCCCUGUGUUAAGCUGUUAUGGUUUUGUGAUUUUUUGUUGUCGGUAUUCCACAUCAUUACAUCAUGUAAGGUAUGGGCAGUUAAAGAGUUAAUUCCCCGGUUACUGCAAACUACCUUUUUUGGUGUGGCCCUCUGAGGGGGAGGGGAGGAGGUGCACUCCCCAGGGGUCUUUGCAUUAGAGGGGGUGGUGAAGCCACGUGGGAGAGGCGGGGGCUGUUCUUCCCAGCCCGGCGGAGAAAGCACGUGGUCCUCCUGCAGUUUACUGUGUAAGAUUUUCAGCCUGUAAACCCUCUAUCAUAAUUCUACUAGCCUCAUUUUGAUAUAUUUAGUAAAAUUAGUUGUUCCUCCUCAGAUCGGUGCCGCUGUUUUUGUGUUAAAUCUGUCUGCGGGUCCCCCUCUUCCCAGGUUGCGGCUCCGCGGCUUCUCUGCUGCUUUAGCCGCCGGACUGCCCGGGGGCUGGCUCUUAUCGCCGGCAAUUUUUUUUUCUUUCCUUCCUCUUCUCUCGUUUUUUUUUCUUUCGGGCCUGUCCCCCUUGUCACGGACGCAGACCCUUAGACAAUACCGUGACAAAUAUUGGUGGAGGAUGCGGGCACUAGAUCUGCUUUCAAUUUUUGGAAUGAUGCAUAAAGGAUUAACGGUAAUCAUGUUCCUCGGAACAUACUGGUUUCUGGUAAUGGCUAUCAUGUUCUGUGUUGGAGUUGUGUGUACAUAUAACUACAUAAUGGCGCUGAUGGAGAUACCGGCCUGGUGCUUGUACCUCCCGGAGGGAGUGGCUAGUUUUACAAACAGCACCGUGGUGAGGCUGGCUUCCAAGUUCUCCCCUCAGUUCCUUAUGCACCCUUGGAAUUUCAAUCUAGCAAUCGUGAUACCAAUAGCUUUGAAUGUUUUCCUCCUAAUAAUAAUUAACAUUAUGUGGAGGAAACUCUCCCCAAAACCGGAAAAUGCUGAGUGGCAGGGAAUAUGGAGAGGCCUAGGGAAGACCUUAGAAACAUGGGGACCCCCGGUGUCAUGGGAUUUCACCCUUGAACACCUGUGGGAUCCUGAGAAGCUCGGUCAGUUUUUGAGUCAGGGAUGGCGCGGCCUAGGCAGAUCUGAGGAGGCACAACUUAUUUGGGGCCUGGCUUGUGCUUAUCAAGCUCUAUACAACACUGUUCUUGAGAGAGAAAGUUUCCCGGCUGAAAUUCGAACCAGAGGGGGAAGCCCCCAAGCUAAACCUGAGCAAGCACAGGAGGCACCAGUAUCCGUGGCAGUUGCUCCUGUGGAAAGACAGAAAGGGAAACGGGUGCCCUCGCGUCUGGAACGGAAGGAAGAAGCGGAGAAGGUAGAGGAAGAAGCGGAGAAGGUAGAGGAAGAAGCGGAGAAGGUAGAGGAAGAUCCAGGCGAGGGGCCCUCCCCGAACGCAUCGUUACCAACAAAGGCAACCGAAGAAAACAAGAGACAUGGAGAGGAUAGGGAGGAGGAAGGCGUCACUGUUACAACUGUCCGCCGACCUCUGAUAAUGACCGAAAUCAUAGGCUCAAGAAAGGAGUGUGACGAACCCGUAGCAGUAUUGGAAACACCUGAUGGAGAUCAGGAUGGUCAGAAGAGCCUACUGAAGGAGCUGAUCAAACUAAUUACAGGCGAUGAACUCUCCUCCUCACCUGUAUCAUCAAAAAUCUCAGCUAUCAGAGGCAGACGCCUUCCUGCUCGAGCAAAUGAUGGUGGCAGAUCUAUGGCACGUGCCGCCUUGUGGAGUUACUUACGCGAGCAUGGAGAAGACAUGAAACAAUGGCAUAAGAAACCCACUCCGGUACUACGAGCACGGGUGAGAGAAUUACAGUGCAGAUUAACCACUGAUGAAGUUGCUGAACUCACUACAGGUAACCAAUAGAGGGGCCCUGCCCUCAGUCAGGGGAGGGAAAGGGAUAAUAGAGUCUAUUGGACUGUGUGGAUUCAAUGGCCUGGCACUUCAGACCCACAGAAAUACGAGGCACUGGUGGACACUGGUGCGCAGUGCACUCUAAUGCCCUCGAGUCAUGAAGGGACAGAUUUGAUUUGUAUUUCUGGAGUGACUGGGGGCUCUCAAGAAUUGACUGUGCUGGAGGCAGAAAUAAGCCUUACUGGUAAAGACUGGCAGAGACAUCCUAUUGUAACUGGUCCAGGGGCUCCGUGUAUACUUGAUAUUGAUUACCUCAGAAGGGGACAUUUCAAGGAUCCCAAAGGGUAUCGAUGGGUCUUUGGAGUAGCUGCCGUAGACACAGACAACAUUAAGCAGCUGUCUGUUUUGCCUGGCCUGUCAGAAGAUCCCUCUGUGGUGGGGCUGCUAAAAGUAAAAGAGCAACAGGUACCAAUUGCCACAGAAACGGUGCACAGGUGGCAGUACCGCACCAACAGGGAUUCCUUGCUCCCCAUUCAUAAGUUGAUUCGUCAACUAGAGAGCCAGGGAGUGAUCAGCAAAACUCACUCACCUUUUAACAGCCCCAUAUGGCCAGUGCGUAAGGCCAGUGGAGAAUGGAGGCUGACAGUAGACUACUGCGGCCUGAAUGAAGUUACACCCCCACUGAGUGCUGCUGUGCCGGACAUGCUAGAACUCCAGUAUGAACUGGAGUCCAAAGCAGCCAAGUGGUAUGCCACCAUUGACAUUGCUAAUGCCUUCUUCUCCAUUCCUUUGGCCACAGAAUGCAGGCCACAGUUUGCUUUUACCUGGAGGGGCAUUCAGUAUACCUGGAACCGUUUGCCCCAGGGGUGGAAACACAGCCCAGCCAUCUGCCACGGGUUGAUUCAAAGCGCACUGGAAUAGGGCGGUGCUCCCGAGCACCUGCAGUAUAUUGAUGAUAUUGUUGUGUGGGGCAAUACAGCAGAGGAAGUUUUCAAGAAGGGGGAGAGAAUAA
This is a long non-coding RNA of Numida meleagris (helmeted guineafowl), 3057 nucleotides long. The record is from Ensembl. NCBI's taxonomy places the organism in Eukaryota, Metazoa, Chordata, Aves, Galliformes, Numididae.